UUUAAGAUCCCGUACGGUGAAAACUCGCUAGUGCUAGAAGGACCGGGGUUCCCUAUCCGCUCCCAAUGUAUUGCCGUGCUUACCCGCUUGGAGACCGAACUGUCCCACUUGAACGGCCAUCAAGAAUCGAUGAAACCCUUGGUAACCAUGGCAACAGACGAGUAUCAAGUGACAUUCGAAGGCUGUAAUGCUUUGGCACCGCAUGAACCCAUGGACUCGUGUGGC
This is a long non-coding RNA of Dreissena polymorpha, 225 nucleotides long. RefSeq lists it as uncharacterized. Lineage: Eukaryota; Metazoa; Mollusca; Bivalvia; Myida; Dreissenidae. The transcript is spliced from 3 exons. The record is from RefSeq and is a predicted model, not a curated record.